This 253-nucleotide ribosomal RNA is filed under the name uncultured bacterium. RNAcentral's name for it is "partial 16S ribosomal RNA". It matches the Rfam family "Bacterial small subunit ribosomal RNA", at positions 524 to 776 of the family's 1533-position model. The record is from RNAcentral.
UACGAAGGGGGCUAGCGUUGUUCGGAAUUACUGGGCGUAAAGCGCACGUAGGCGGAUUGGUAAGUUAGGGGUGAAAUCCCGGGGCUCAACCCCGGAACUGCCUUUAAUACUGGCAAUCUCGAGUCCGAGGGAGGUGAGUGGAAUUCCGAGUGUAGAGGUGAAAUUCGUAGAUAUUCGGAGGAACACCAGUGGCGAAGGCGGCUCACUGGCUCGGUACUGACGCUGAGGUGCGAAAGCGUGGGGAGCAAACAGG